Molecule: ribosomal RNA, 386 nt
Filed under: uncultured Pseudomonas sp.
Lineage: Bacteria; Pseudomonadati; Pseudomonadota; Gammaproteobacteria; Pseudomonadales; Pseudomonadaceae
Description: bacterial SSU rRNA
Rfam family: Bacterial small subunit ribosomal RNA
Source: RNAcentral
GUAUUCUAGAAAGGGAUACGUUCUUCGGACAAUAUACAAGGUGCUGCAUGGUUGUCGUCAGCUCGUGCCGUGAGAUGUUGGGUUAAGUCCCGUAACGAGCGCAACCCUUGUCCUUAGUUACCAGCACGUUAUGGUGGGCACUCUAAGGAGACUGCCGGUGACAAACCGGAGGAAGGUGGGGAUGACGUCAAGUCAUCAUGGCCCUUACGGCCUGGGCUACACACGUGCUACAAUGGUCGGUACAAAGGGUUGCCGAGCCGCGAGGUGGAGCUAAUCCCAUAAAACCGAUCGUAGUCCGGAUCGCAGUCUGCAACUCGACUGCGUGAAGUCGGAAUCGCUAGUAAUCGUGAAAUCAGAAUGUCACGGUGAAUACGUUCCCGGGCCUU